CUUCCUUUGUCCUUGUGUUGCUGUGAUAGAUAAAUUAUAUUUUCCUUCUCACUCAAAAAUUACCUUUUGUAAAAAACCAGCCAGUUUACUGCAUUUAAUGGUUUAUGAAAGGUUCAACAAAUAGAGGGAUCAGAGAUGAAUAUUUUGAAAACUCAGUGCUGUCUUUGCUGUCAACAUGUAACGUGCAAGGGAAAACAAGCAUGUAAGGAUGACUACCUUCCCAGCAAACUGCAAUGGAAUUAUGUACAUAUGCAAAGGCAGGAAGGCUCACAUGACAGGUAACAGCUCCCGGUGAUAACAGUCACACAUCCAGAGCUGUGCGUGGAAGCCAUUUGCUGUGUACAACUUUGGCUGGUCGAUAGCACUGCCCGGUUUGGAGCACCAUGUUUUGGCAUAACAUCUCUUAACUACGAAAGAAGCAAGCACAUAUAACACUGCCUUUGCUGAACACUUGUAAAGCUUACUGUGGGUGAUAAUUGUGGAAAAAAACCCUAUUUCAGUCACAAUGAAAUUGAAAAAUUUGGAGGUACUUUGGUCAUUAGGCUGUUCUGGAGGUAAUAUUCUAGGUGCUUCUCACUAUCUGUCGAUGAGACUUGAUGACAACAGAGGCUCUCCCACCUGAAAAAGAGAAGGAACUGUCCAGUAGAUCUUUCUGGAUA
Molecule: long non-coding RNA, 659 nt
Organism: Hirundo rustica (Barn swallow)
Lineage: Eukaryota; Metazoa; Chordata; Aves; Passeriformes; Hirundinidae
Exons: 3
Source: RefSeq, a predicted model, not a curated record